UAACACCAUAAGAGACGAGAAGGUUCUCACUAAGGAUCUGGGAGGAAAGUGCUCAGAGUUUAGAACUGAUAUCUGCCAUCGUCAUCGUUUUCAUUAUUGUUUUAAAUCGAAUGUCAUGUUUCCAAUGGUCCUUGAUCUACUCACAGCACCGUGACGGAGACGUUUAAUCACACGACGAUAUUUUCCUGCAGCUACAACUCAACAAAUCCCAGUUCUCAGUGAGGUGGUGUCUUCAGAUCAAGAUAAACUACAACUUCCAGCCUAUAAAAUGAUUUGGAGAAGGAAUGUUUUGACGCCUCCAACAUUUUUGAUCAUCGUGAUAAAAGUCUUCACUGGUCAAACUCUAACAUGUCAUCCAGCAGAAUAUCAGAUCAGGAAUGAAUGCUGUCCAAUGUGUCCUGCAGGUAAGAUCCAACUGGAUG
Long non-coding RNA from Amphiprion ocellaris (clown anemonefish), 422 nucleotides. RefSeq lists it as uncharacterized. NCBI's taxonomy places the organism in Eukaryota, Metazoa, Chordata, Actinopteri, Pomacentridae. The transcript is spliced from 3 exons. The record is from RefSeq and is a predicted model, not a curated record.